UNUGACUUGAGUGCAGAAGGGGAGAGUGGAAUUCCAUGUGUAGCGGUGAAAUGCGUAGAUAUAUGGAGGAACACCAGUGGCGAAAGCGGCUCUCUGGUCUGUCACUGACGCUGAGGCUCGAAAGCGUGGGUAGCGAACAGGAUUAGAUACCCUGGUAGUCCACGCCGUAAACGAUGAGUGCUAGGUGUUAGGCCCUUUCCGGGGCUUAGUGCCGGAGCUAACGCAAUAAGCACUCCGCCUGGGGAGUACGACCGCAAGGUUGAAACUCAAAGGAAUUGACGGGGGCCCGCACAAGCGGUGGAGCAUGUGGUUUAAUUCGAAGCAACGCGAAGAACCUUACCAGGUCUUGACAUCCCGAUGCUAUUCUUAGAGAUAGGAAGUUACUUCGGUACAUCGGAGACAGGUGGUGCAUGGUUGUCGUCAGCUCGUGUCGUGAGAUGUUGGGUUAAGUCCCGCAACGAGCGCAACCCUUAUUGUUAGUUGCCAUCAUUAAGUUGGGCACUCUAGCGAGACUGCCGGUAAUAAACCGGAGGAAGGUGGGGAUGACGUCAAAUCAUCAUGCCCCUUAUGACCUGGGCUACACACGUGCUACAAUGGUCGGUACAACGAGUUGCGAGCCGGUGACGGCAAGCUAAUCUCUGAAAGCCGAUCUCAGUUCGGAUUGGAGGCUGCAACUCGCCUCCAUGAAGUCGGAAUCGCUAGUAAUCGCGGAUCAGCACGCCGCGGUGAAUACGUUCCCGGGCCUUGUACACACC
Molecule: ribosomal RNA, 755 nt
Filed under: uncultured bacterium
Lineage: Bacteria
Description: bacterial SSU rRNA
Rfam family: Bacterial small subunit ribosomal RNA
Source: RNAcentral